RNAcentral lists this transfer RNA (71 nucleotides) under Parasudis truculenta (longnose greeneye). Its description in RNAcentral is "tRNA-Met". It matches the Rfam family "tRNA". Rfam says of the family: Transfer RNA (tRNA) molecules are approximately 80 nucleotides in length. Their secondary structure includes four short double-helical elements and three loops (D, anti-codon, and T loops). The record is from RNAcentral. Lineage: Eukaryota; Metazoa; Chordata; Actinopteri; Aulopiformes; Chlorophthalmidae.
AGUAAGAUCAGCUAACGCCAAGCUUUUGGGCUCAUACCCCAACAAUAUAGGUUAAAAUCCUUUCCUUGCUA